AGAGCGGCCUGCUGGCCCCGCCUGCCCUGGGCAGUGAAGGGCUUAGCACCUGGUCCAGCAGCUGCUGUGCUCGAGUUCUCGCGGGGCCUUAGCUGCCUCCCCGCGGGGCAGGGCUUGGGACCUGCAGCCCGCCAUGCCUGAGCUUCCCCCCGCCCCCGCCGUGGGCUCCUGUGCGGCCCGAGCCUCCCCGACGAGCGCCGCCCCCUGCUCCACGAUGCCCAGUCCCAUCGACCACCCAAGGGCUGAGGAGUGCGGGCUCACGGUUACAGGAUUCCCAUUUCAGAACUACGACCAUUUGAAAAAUAGAAGAUUUAAAGAUUGACGCAAAGUGCAUGUACCAUGAUACACCAGAUAUUUUGCUUUUUCAUGCUUCAAGUGCUUCAAAUAUCACAUCAGCUAUUGCAUUCUUCCCCACUGGGAAACCCUCCCAGUUCACCAUGGCUGAAAGGUUUAAAAGCUGGCUUGGCACUUGUGCCAGGGGCAGUGUGCUCUGUCAGCAGUGAUGGGUUCUUCAUUGCAACCUGCGCAGUGAGUGAUGCAAUUCCCAAACCCCAUCUUAUUCCUUCCUUCCUGGGACCACUCCAGGAAGUGAGUCAGAGCUUGGAGUACAAGAUACUUUUUAAGAGUCAACAUCAGUAAGGGAAAAGGGAACAAAGCAAGCUGGAUUAGACAAACUGCAGGACCAAGAAAGCCUCUGUCACCCAGAGGGGAUCUCUGCAAUGAAAUUGCUCAUCAUCUUUGUACCACAUCAAACCAAAUUUUCAAACUUUUAGAGCUUUGGGCAAGGUGACUUUCUGCAUAGGAGGCUGGUCCUGAAGGAAUUGACACCUGGAGUCUGUUCAGUGACUGCAUUCUCUGAAGCUCUACAUAGAUGUCUUCCUUGAAGUGUGACCUAGGUGUGAUGUCUUCAUGUCUACCACACACCACCAAAAAAAGUAAUGCUAUAUUAGUAACAAUGUUUUUCAUAAUGUCCUAAAUCUGGGAACUACCUAAUGUAUCAAAUUGAAAUGCAUAAAUAUAAUGCAGAAUAUUGAUAUAAUGUUAUAGCAUUGAUAUUUGAUAGGGUUUGGCUGUGUCCCCACCCAAAUCUCAUCUUGAAUGCCCACAUGUUGUGGGACAGAACUUGUAGGAGGUAAUUGAAUCAUGAAGGCAGGUCUUUCCCAUGCUGUUCUCGUGAUAAUGAAUAAGUCUCACAAGAUCUGAUGGUUAUAUAAGAAGGAGUUUCCCUGAACAAGCUUUCUCUUUACCUGCUGCUAUCCAUGUAGAAUAAGACUUGCUCCUCCUUGCCUUCCACCAUAAUUGUGAGGCCUCCCAAUCCAUGUGGAACUGUAAGUCUAUUAAACCUCUUUCUUUAGUAAAUUACCCAGUCUUUGGUAUGUCUUUAUCAGCAGCGUGAGAACAGACUAAUACAGUAAAUUGGUACCAAUAGAGUGGGUCGCUGCUGAAAAGAUACCCAAAAAUGUGGAAGGGACUUCGGAACUGCAUAACAGGCAGAGAUUGGAACAGUUUGGAGGGCUCAGAAGAAGACAGGAAAAUGUGAGAAACUGUGGAACUCUCUAGAGACUUGUGAAAUGGCUUUCACCAAAAUGUCGAUAAUGAUAUUGGCAAUGAAAUCUAGGCUGAGCUUAUCUCAGAUGGAGAUGACGAACUUGUUGGGAACUGGAGCAAAGGUGACUCUUGUUAUGUUAUAGCAAUGAGACUGGCGGCAUUUUGCCCCUACACUAGAUAUUUCUGAAACUUUAAACUUGAGAGAGAUGAUUUAGGGUAUCUUCCAGAAGAAAUUUCUAAGCAGCAAAACAUUCAAGAGGUAACUUGGGUGCUGUUAAAGGCAUUCAGUUUUACAAGGGAGGCAGAGCAUAAAAUUUUGGAAAAUCUACAGCCUGAAGAUGUGCUAGAAAAGAAAAUCCCAUUUUCUGAGGAGAAAUUUCAAGCUGCCUGCAAAAAUUUGCUUAAGUAACAAAGAGCCAAAUGUUAAUCCCCAAGACAAUGGGGAAAAUGUUUCAAGGACAUGUCAGAGGACUUCAUGGCAGCCUCUCCCAUCACAGACUCAAAGGCCUAGGAGGAAAAAAUGGUUUCUUGGGCCAGGCCCAGGGUCUGUAUGCUGUGUGCAGCCUAGGGACCUGGUGCCCUGCAUCCCAGCUGCUACAGGCAUGGCUGAAAGAGGCCAAUAUAGAGCAUGGGCCGUCGCUUCAGAGAGUGCAAGCCCCAAGCCUUGGCAGCUUCCACAUGAUGUUGAGCCUGCGAGUGCAACGAAGUCAAGAAUUGGGGUUUGAGAACCUCCACCUAGAUUUCAGAAGAUGUAUGGAAAUGCCUGGAUGCCCUGGCAGAAAUUUUGCUGCAGGGGUGUGGCCCUAAUGGAGAACCCCUGCUAAGGCAGUGUGGAAGGGAAAUGUGGGGUUGGAGCCCUUCACACAGAAUCUCUACUGGGGCAUUUCCUAGUGGAACUGUGAGAAGAGGGCCACCAUCCUCCAGACCCCAGAAUAGUAGAUCCACUGAGAGCUUGCACCGUGCGCCUGGAAAAGCGCCAGCACUCAACACCAGCCCAUGAAAGCAGCCGAGAAGGAGACUGUACCUUACAAAGCUACAGGGGUGGAGCUGCCCAAGACCAUGGGAACUCAUCUCUUGCCUCAGCAUGACCUGGAUGUGAGACAUGGAGUCAAAGGAGACCAUUUUAGAGCUUUAAUAUUUGACUGCCCUGCUGGAUUUCAAACUUGCAUGGGGCCUGUAGCCCCACUCUUUUGACCAAUUUCUCCCAUUUGAAAUGGAUGUAUUUACACAAUGCCUGUAACCCCAUUGUAUCUAGGAAGCAACUAACUUGCUUUUGAUUUUACAGGCUCAUAGGCUGAAGGGACUUGCCUUGUCUCAAAUGAGACGUUGGACUGUGGACUUUUGAGUUAAUGCUGAAAUGAGAUAGGUCUUUGGGGUACUAUUGGGAAGGCAUAAUUGGUUUUGAAAUGUAAUGGCAUGAGAUUUGGGAGGGGGUGGGGUGGAAUGAUACGGUUUGUCUGUGUACCCACCCAAAUCUCAUCUUGAGUUCCCUCUCUUGUGGGAGGGACCUGGUGGGAGGUAAUUGAAUUAUGGGGUCAGAUCUUUUCUGUGCUGUUCUCAUGAAUAGUGAAUAAGUCUCACAAGAUUUGAUGGUUCUAUAAGGGGGAGUUUUCCUGCAUAAGCUCUCUCUCUACCAUCCAUGUAAGAAGUGAUUUUCUCCUCUUUGCCUUCCACCAUACUUGUGAGGCCUCCAGAGCCAUGUGGAACAAGUUCAUUAAGUGUCUUUCUUUUGUAAAUUGGCCAGUCUCAGGUAUGUUUUUAUCAGCAGCAUGAGAACAAACUAAUACAAGCCUAUAGAAGUAACAAUUAACAUAGAUACUCUAUACAAGAGCGUAGGUCCAUUUAACAAACAUAUUACUUAGGAAAAAGACAAAAUACUGUCUAUGAUGCCAUUCAUAUAAAAUUUAAAAACAACCAUAACAUGUCUAUGAUGCCACACAGUAAGGAAAGCAGGGCAUGUGGUAGCCACAUCUCCCUUUAAAAAAAUGUCUGGAGAGGCCUGCAGUCACUUUACCCUCAUCCAAGCUGCACCCUCUUAUUGGUCUCUUAAAUGGGGCAAUGAGAAUACAGGAAUAGCACAGAUUAAAGAUAGUAAGAGUGUCUGCAAUAUUCCAUACAGUCUUGUACUCCAUCUUAUUAAAACAAAACCACCCAUGUCCUCAGUUUUGUGACCCAUUAUGUUUCUUCUUUGGCUGAAACUAUUUUGAGUUGCUUCCCAGACACUUGUCUUAUAAAGGGCCUGCAAUGCACAGACUCUUAGAAACCAGUGCCCAGUUUAUAUCAUCAGUUUGACUUUUGGAGAAACUGGGGAAGGUAGAUAAAAUUAUAUAUAUAUACAAACACGCACACACACAUAUAUAUAUACACACACACAUAUAUAAUAACGCAUCUAUGAUGCAUAUAUAUAAUGCAUAUGCACAUGUAUGGUACAUAUAUGAGGCAUAUAUAUACAUCAUAUGUGUGUCAUACAUUUAUCAUUUAUAUAUGUAUCAUAUAUGUAUGUAAAUAUUUUAUUCCUUUUACUGUGUCAGAUGUCCAUUUGGGAAAAUAAUAAGAUUAAUGAGAAAAUAUGAAAUAAGCUUUUGGUAUAGUACUGUUCAAUGAAAUUUUAUGAAUGCCUGUCUUAUUUCAAAACAGUGCACUUAAUAAGAAUAAUCAAUCUCAUAUUACCUUCCAGUUUUAAUGUUAGUGAAUAAGACUGAUAAUUUAAUAAAUCUUAGGAUGAUGGUGUGUAUAUAGUCUCUAAGUAACAUGGUGAAGACCAGUUGGUUAAGCCUGGUGAUGCAGCAACUCAAUUGUAAGAACUAAACUGUAACAAUUGAACUUAAAUAAAAGACAAAUGAAUGAAAAAAAUUAUAUUUUAAUGCUCAAAAUUAUUCUUCAUUGUUGUUGGAGGUAUGAAUAACAGAAAAUGAAUUAUGUUAUUUCCUAAGCAUAUAAUGGGUAGAAAUAAGAAUGUCUUUUGAAAUUUUUUUUACCAGUUUAAAAAUAUGACAUUAAAAUUGCAUUUGUGCAGGAAAUAAUACAACGGGUAUGAAAGAAAGAAAAAGAAAAGUUUUUUGCUGUGAGGAAUAUAUUUUUUCUCCUAAGGAUAUGUCACUUUCACCCAAGUAAUCUGGUUGCCACAUUGCAAUAUUUCACCUGACAAUAAAAAAAUCAUUGUAUGUUAUUCUUCUUCUGUCCCUGGAGAAUAUGAACGUUAAUGAUAACAGCAUUGUGUCUACCUAAAUGAAAACAAAAACCUAAUUGUAAUAAUCCAGUACAUACAAGUGUGCCAUAAUGAAAAAUAAAGUAAAAUAUUUAUU
This 4853-nucleotide long non-coding RNA is filed under the name Homo sapiens (human). RNAcentral describes it as "HSALNT0325228". The record is from RNAcentral. Lineage: Eukaryota; Metazoa; Chordata; Mammalia; Primates; Hominidae.